Molecule: long non-coding RNA, 1221 nt
Organism: Bos taurus (domestic cattle)
Lineage: Eukaryota; Metazoa; Chordata; Mammalia; Artiodactyla; Bovidae
Source: Ensembl
UUUUAAGGCAAUCAGUUAUUUGCAAAUGUUUUCUGAUAGUUUCUCAAAAGAGAAAGUGGGCUAGCAGCAGGUGCUGGCCUCCUCUAGCAGGGGGGCAGAUGUUUGGGAAAGGUUAGAGGUAGGAGGCAGUCACCCAAGUUCACUAAUUAGCUCUUCUGCCCCUUCCUCUCCCUCCAGAAGACUGUGCUAAUGAGAAAAGGAAGUUUAAGUGCUAAAAAAAGAAAGCAAGCUUGCUAAUGCUACUUAAAGGCACAAAAAUGUUCCCAUGCAGUGCGCUCUUCAGAGCUCUAAUUGGGAUGCACGCGGUCCAGUUUGGGCAGAAAGUAACCACACCCCAGCGGUCUUUCAUUUAGCUGAGUUCUCAACGGUGUUGGGAGCAGGAGGAAGGUGAAGAAUGUCACUGAGGGGAGGAGGAGGAAAUACAAGUGUGGAGUCUCUCCUACUAUCUCCUCCUUGGGUUCCAGACAAUGUUUUAAGGGAGUACUGGUCUUAAGUAAAAUUCCCUUAGUUGUGGGUUAUCCUUCAGCAUCUCAGUCAGGGCUUAGACAUGCCAUGGCUUGCAGGAGCCAGUUCAGGUUAUUAAACUAUUGUUCUCAGCAACAAACCCACCCAUCUACACCGUCCUCCGUGGUGUGGGGCUUUGUUGCUGUUUUAGUCACUCAGUCUCCGACUUCCUGGACUCUAGCCCACCAGGCUCUUCUGUCUGUGGAAUUUUCCAGCUGGGUUCCUGUUAUGUGCCACUGAUGGAGGGCACUAAAGGGAGACUGGAAAGCUGCAGGACGAUGAAAGGACUUUCUCUUUCCUGUUUUGCUGUUUCCUGUCGGCAUCAACAAGAGAAGGCCUUUCCCCUCAGCAACAACAAUCGGCCCCAUUUCCCAGCUCCUUCUAGCCCUCCCAGAUAAAAACUCACCACAUCCUCUCCUCCCACACCAGCUGGUAGCCCUUCCUUCUCAGAGCUGUGAGUCCCAGUUCCAUAGUGUCCCUCCUCCAGGCACCUAGGGUUCCAAUAGCCCCACGUUCUUGUUUCUAAAGCCUUAAGAAUAAUUACUAUCGUUUGAUACUUCUUUUCAUUCCCUUUUUGCCCUUUCAGUUCAGUUCAGCCACUCAGUCAUGUCCGACUCUGCAACCCCAUGAAUCACAGCACACCAGGCCUCCCUGUCCAUCACCAACUCCCGGAGUUCACUCAAACUCAUGUCCAUCGAGUCAGUGAUACCAUCCAGC